RNAcentral lists this ribosomal RNA (431 nucleotides) under uncultured bacterium. Its description in RNAcentral is "partial 16S ribosomal RNA". It matches the Rfam family "Bacterial small subunit ribosomal RNA", at positions 29 to 507 of the family's 1533-position model. The record is from RNAcentral.
AACGAACGCUGGCGGCAGGCCUAACACAUGCAAGUCGAGCGCGCCUUCGGGUGAGCGGCGGACGGGUGAGUAACGCGUGGGAAUAUGCCCUUCUCUACAGAAUAGUCCUGGGAAACUGGGGGUAAUACCGUAUACGCCCUUUGGGGGAAAGAUUUAUCGGGGAAGGAUUAGCCCGCGUUGGAUUAGGUAGUUGGUGGGGUAAUGGCCUACCAAGCCGACGAUCCAUAGCUGGUUUGAGAGGAUGAUCAGCCACACUGGGACUGAGACACGGCCCAGACUCCUACGGGAGGCAGCAGUGGGGAAUCUUAGACAAUGGGGGCAACCCUGAUCUAGCCAUGCCGCGUGAGUGAUGAAGGCCUUAGGGUUGUAAAGCUCUUUCAGCUGGGAAGAUAAUGACGGUACCAGCAGAAGAAGCCCCGGCUAACUCCGUG